GUCCCCAUCGUCUAGCCCGGUCAGGACACGUCCCUUUCACGGAUGUAACCGGGGUUCGAAUCCCCGUGGGGACGCCA
RNAcentral lists this transfer RNA (77 nucleotides) under Opitutaceae bacterium. RNAcentral's name for it is "tRNA-Glu". It matches the Rfam family "tRNA". From Rfam's summary of the family: Transfer RNA (tRNA) molecules are approximately 80 nucleotides in length. Their secondary structure includes four short double-helical elements and three loops (D, anti-codon, and T loops). Further hydrogen bonds mediate the characteristic L-shaped molecular structure. tRNAs have two regions of fundamental functional importance: the anti-codon, which is responsible for specific mRNA codon recognition, and the 3' end, to which the tRNAs corresponding amino acid is attached (by aminoacyl-tRNA synthetases). tRNAs cope with the degeneracy of the genetic code in two manners: having more than one tRNA (with a specific anti-codon) for a particular amino acid; and 'wobble' base-pairing, i.e. permitting non-standard base-pairing at the 3rd anti-codon position. RNAcentral also lists the same sequence under 3 other names. Lineage: Bacteria; Pseudomonadati; Verrucomicrobiota; Opitutia; Opitutales; Opitutaceae. The record is from RNAcentral.